UAUUUAAGUAACGAAAUGUAACAGCUGAUUAGAUCUGUUCGUUUUCAGUUGAGAGGUUUUUGUGACUGACACGUACUGAAUUGCAAAAUCGUCUCAAGUCACAUAAAUUGUCUCUAAUUUAAAAUCUCAAAUUUAGAGACUUGUGACUGCAUCAAAGUACUGGAUUGGACAUACAUAUCUCCCAAUACAAUAAGGGACAGAUCUCUGAAGGGCAUCAAAUCCAGCAAUACGGUAAUUAAACCCCUACUUUCAAAACACACAUUGGGAAAUGCAAAGGUGCAGAAAAAAAUCAACCGUGAUUGAAGCAAUGUAAGAUCAUAUUUACAGAUGAGUCACCUUUUUUAUUGUUCAACCACUUGAGACGUGUUUGGCUAAACAAUCAAUAAAUGUCAACUAUAACAAAACAAUCUAUUAUCUAUAAUUACAACAUUUUUCCCAAUAAACGCCACCUACACUUUGGAAAACGAAAACGCACUAUAAAAAAUCCAGCUGCAAGAUUGUACUAUCGAGUGCCUUGAGAAGACGGUUUUCAAACUUACCGAACAAGUUCGUUCCUCACGAGCCAAAACGAACGUAGCCCUCGAUUGAACAUUGUCGUAGAUGAAAUUCAGACUUUCAGAGCUAUUAGUGAUAUCAGAUUGACACUUCCCGUUAUUCCACGUUCAACAUACGCGAAUGAAAUCAACGCUUGCUUAAAAUCAUCGAGACUGUGGCAUAAUGUUGAAAAAGUAUAACUGACAGUGAACAUGGGCUUUAUAUGCUUGAAGAUCCAUUUGCCAAGACUCUCUCAAAACAAUUGGCAAAUAAAAGUAGCUGUACAUGAAAAUACUGGAUACAUAAAAUUAUCAACGGAUUUCUGCACAAUCACCAACUCUCAAAAUACUCUCAUCGUCAAUAUAUAAUAUUUCCCGAUGUACACACAAAAUAUAAAAAUCUUGAGUGGCAGAAAGAUCGAUUCUGUCAGCAAAACUUUGACGCCAAUGGAUUAAAUCCACAGAUACAACAGUUGUUACCAGGGGACUUGGUGUCAAACAAACCUAUCCACGUCAAGAAAGAUGCAAUAAGUUCAGUCCGUGGAAUUGGACAAGCUGAGGACCAGUUAAAAAAGGGUUGAAGCUCCAGAAAAAGGGCCACAUUAAAAACUGAAGCUACAACAAAAUUAAAAUAGAUUCAGAAAAAAAAUAAUGCUUUAGAAUAAGUAAGAAAUAGUAAGGAAACAUUUAAAAUGAAGUAAAAAUUUAAUUGAAC
Bactrocera oleae (olive fruit fly) is the source of this 1248-nucleotide long non-coding RNA. RefSeq lists it as uncharacterized. Lineage: Eukaryota; Metazoa; Arthropoda; Insecta; Diptera; Tephritidae. The record is from RefSeq and is a predicted model, not a curated record.